CCAGACUCCUACGGGAGGCAGCAGUAGGGAAUAUUGCACAAUGGGGGAAACCCUGAUGCAGCAACGCCGCGUGAGUGAAGAAGUAUUUCGAUAUGUAAAGCUCUAUCAGCAGGGAAGAAGAUGACGGUACCUGAUUAAGAAGCCCCGGCUAACUACGUGCCAGCAGCCGCGGUAAUACGUAGGGGGCAAGCGUUAUCCGGAUUUACUGGGUGUAAAGGGAGCGUAGACGGCAGCACAAGUCUGGAGUGAAAUCCCGGGGCUUAACCCCGGAACUGCUUUGGAAACUGUGCGGCUGGAGUGCAGGAGGGGUAAGCGGAAUUCCUAGUGUAGCGGUGAAAUGCGUAGAUAUUAGGAGGAACACCGGUGGCGAAGGCGGCUUACUGGACUGUAACUGACGUUGAGGCUCGAAAGCGUGGGGAGCAAACAGGAUUAGAUACCCCCGUAAUU
RNAcentral lists this ribosomal RNA (447 nucleotides) under uncultured bacterium. Its description in RNAcentral is "bacterial SSU rRNA". It matches the Rfam family "Bacterial small subunit ribosomal RNA", at positions 331 to 795 of the family's 1533-position model. The record is from RNAcentral.